Molecule: ribosomal RNA, 483 nt
Filed under: uncultured Comamonas sp.
Lineage: Bacteria; Pseudomonadati; Pseudomonadota; Betaproteobacteria; Burkholderiales; Comamonadaceae
Description: bacterial SSU rRNA
Rfam family: Bacterial small subunit ribosomal RNA
Source: RNAcentral
CAGAAACUACAAAGGAAUGACGGAACCCGCACAAGCGGUGGAUGAUGUGGUUUAAUUCGAUGCAACGACGAAAACCUUACCCACCUUUGACAUGUACGGAAUCCUUUAGAGAUAGAGGAGUGCUCGAAAGAGAGCCGUAACACAGGUGCUGCAUGGCUGUCGUCAGCUCGUGUCGUGAGAUGUUGGGUUAAGUCCCGCAACGAGCGCAACCCUUGUCAUUAGUUGCUACGAAAGGGCACUCUAAUGGGACUGCCGGUGACAAACCGGAGGAAGGUGGGGAUGACGUCAAGUCCUCAUGGCCCUUAUAGGUGGGGCUACACACGUCAUACAAUGGCUGGUACAAAGGGUUGCCAACCCGCGAGGGGGAGCUAAUCCCAUAAAGCCAGUCGUAGUCCGGAUCGCAGUCUGCAACUCGACUGCGUGAAGUCGGAAUCGCUAGUAAUCGUGGAUCAGAAUGUCACGGUGAAUACGUUCCCGGGUCUU